GUCCAGGAGCAAAGUGGUGGCAGGACUGGACCCAUGCCAGGUCCCAGCCAGUCCGUUCCUCUCCGCAUGGCCCAGCCGCUGGGCUCUGGAAGCUGCAGGCAGGGUCCCUUGCAAGCCGGUGGCCUCAGCCCCAUCUCUUUACUUCUCUGCAACUUGUUUUCUCUAUGUGCAAGCUGUGACUAAUCACACCUCCCUUCAGGGGAUUUUCACAGGUUUCAUAAGUGAAGUAAGUGCCUAUUUUCUUUCUUUCCCUGUGUGUACCUUGUAUACCACAGAUGGACACGUGUCUAAAAUACCUAUUUUGUCAGUCUUUUCCUCCAACUCAGAAACACCGAGAGCCCUCCCCAAUCCCAGCAUUUCUAUCAGGAAAAGGCUAACAUGCCACCGGCAGCAAAGAGCUCAGUGUCACCAGACAUCAUUUUGCAGAUAAAGAAAGGAAAUCCCCGGGUGGCUGAAAAUCUCCCCAAGUAUGGGCCCAGGGACCUUGAUGGGUCAGGUCUCACUGCAUCCUGUCCCACUCUGUCCCAGCAAACUUUCUUCUCCAGUCAAAACUGGUCUCACUCUCUGAGGAACACCUGUGCCGACACUCAGGCACAGCCUAUGGGGAACACUGCUCCCUGCCCUCUCCCACCCAAAUCAACACACCUUCAAAGGAACAGAACACUUCUGCGCCUGGCAAGGCUCCCUUUCCUCUGCCUCCUCCUUCACAGAGACUUUGGGAUUGUCCUCUGAUGACAGAGUGCCCUGCCUCCUGAUGGAGUGACGCUGGGAUUAGAGGUGGGAUGGAGGAUGCCUGCUCACACCUCCCAGAUCAUUCACCAGGGGGCAGGGCCAGGCCAUCAUCCCACUGCGUUCAUCUUGGCCAGGUGCGAUGGCUCACACCUGUCAUCCCGGCACUUUGGGAGGCCAAGGCAGGCCAAUCACUUGAGGUCAGGAGUUUGAGACCACUCUGGCCAACAUGGUGAAACCCCCUCUCUGCUAAAAAUACAAAAAUUUGCUGAAUGUGGCGGCACGUGCCUGUAAUCCCAGCUACUUGGGAGGCUGAGGCAGGAGAAUCACUUGAACCUGGGAGGCGGAGGCUGCAGUGAGCCAAGAUCGCGCCACUGCACUCCAGCCUGGGCUACAGCGUGAGACUCUGUGUCUCAAACAAACAAACAAACAAAGUUUGAAACCACUGUGUUCAUCUCACACCUUGCAGAGAGAUAUAUGCCCAGGAUGGGGCUGAAUAAAAAGCUAAUAAUAAUAGCCACCACCUGUGGAGAGCUUCUCUUGGACCACGCAUUCUGCUAAGUCCUUCUCUUGUAUGAGGACCAGUUGUGCCCAGAGAACCUUCUCUGUCUCCUCUAACCAUGGGAUAAAAGGAGAUUUCCACAAGAGCGGCUCAGGGACGCAGCCCAUCUCUUAAGAAGGAGGCUCUGAGAGGGACAAGACCAUGGAUGCAGCACAUGGCCACAAGGCAGUUUCAAGAUGCCCAUGUCAGGCAGAGGAUGGCUCAGUGGUCUCUAACCCACCUAACAUUUCAUGAACUUUACUCCUGGUCCCGCUCCCAAAUUAGACACUGGAGAUAAUGG
Long non-coding RNA from Homo sapiens (human), 1571 nucleotides. Lineage: Eukaryota; Metazoa; Chordata; Mammalia; Primates; Hominidae. The record is from Ensembl.